RNAcentral lists this ribosomal RNA (233 nucleotides) under uncultured bacterium. Its description in RNAcentral is "partial 16S ribosomal RNA". It matches the Rfam family "Bacterial small subunit ribosomal RNA", at positions 100 to 334 of the family's 1533-position model. The record is from RNAcentral.
CGGGACGGGUGAGUAAUGUCUGGGAAACUGCCUGAUAGAGGGGGAUAACUACUGGAAACGGUAGCUAAUACCGCAUAACGUCGCAAGACCAAAGAGGGGGACCUUCGGGCCUCUUGCCAUCGGAUGUGCCCAGAUGGGAUUAGCUAGUAGGUGGGGUAACGGCUCACCUAGGCGACGAUCCCUAGCUGGUCUGAGAGGAUGACCAGCCACACUGGGACUGAGACACGGUCCAG